This 897-nucleotide ribosomal RNA is filed under the name uncultured archaeon. RNAcentral describes it as "bacterial SSU rRNA". It matches the Rfam family "Archaeal small subunit ribosomal RNA", at positions 1 to 905 of the family's 1478-position model. The record is from RNAcentral.
UCCGGUUGAUCCCGCCGGAGGUUACUGCUAUCGAGGUUCGACUAAGCCAUGCGAGUCGAAUGUAGCAAUACAUGGCGUACUGCUCAGUAACACGUGGAUAACCUACCCUUGAGAUGGGGAUAAACCCGGGAAACUGGGUAUAAUACCCAAUAGAUCUCGACUGCUGGAAUGCAUCGAGCUCCAAAGCUCCGGCGCUCAAGGAUGGAUCUGCGGCCAAUCAGGUAGUAGUGGGUGUAGUGUACCUACUAGCCUACGACGGGUACGGGUUGUGAGAGCAAGAGCCCGGAGAUGGAUUCUGAGACGCGAAUCCAGGCCCUACGGGGUGCAGCAGGCGCGAAAACUUUACAAUGCUGGAAACAGCGAUAUGGGGACCUCGAGUGCCAGGUUACAAAUCUGGCUGUCGUGAUGCCUAAAAAGCAUUGCAUAGCAAGGGCCGGGCAAGACCGGUGCCAGCCGCCGCGGUAACACCGGCGGCUCGAGUGGUAACCGUUAUUAUUGGGUCUAAAGGGUCUGUAGCCGGCCGGAUAAGUCUCUUGGGAAAUCUGGCAGCUUAACUGUCAGGCUUUCAGGAGAUACUGUCUGGCUCGAGGCCGGGAGAGGUGAGAGGUACUUCAGGGGUAGGGGUGAAAUCUUGUAAUCCUUGAAGGACCACCAGUGGCGAAGGCGUCUCACCAGAACGGACCUGACGGCAAGGGACGAAAGCUAGGGGCACGAACCGGAUUAGAUACCCGGGUAGUCCUAGCCGUAAACGAUACUCGCUAGGUGUCGGCAACGGUGCGACCGUUGUCGGUGCCGUAGGGAAGCCGUGAAGCGAGCCACCUGGGAAGUACGGCCGCAAGGCUGAAACUUAAAGGAAUUGGCGGGGGAGCACCACAACGGGUGGAGCUUGCGGUUUAA